GCACUACUGAGGAGUCCCAUACCAGGAUGAAAUGGCCAUCUAGUGC
Non-coding RNA from Schistosoma mansoni, 46 nucleotides. The record is from Rfam. NCBI's taxonomy places the organism in Eukaryota, Metazoa, Platyhelminthes, Trematoda, Strigeidida, Schistosomatidae.